RNAcentral lists this long non-coding RNA (281 nucleotides) under Brassica napus (rape). RNAcentral describes it as "long non-coding RNA (BNAP_LNC022655)". Lineage: Eukaryota; Viridiplantae; Streptophyta; Magnoliopsida; Brassicales; Brassicaceae. The record is from RNAcentral.
AUUAAAAUAACAUUUUAUCUUUUGAAAAAUUUAAAUUUUUUUUAUUUUUCUAAAUAUGAAAUCUUAUCCCAAAACCCCACUCCCCAACUCUAAACCCUAAACUCUAAACCCUAAACUCUAAAUCCUAAACCGUAAAUCCUAAAUCAUAAACCCCACCCCUUAACUCUAAACCCUAAACCCCACCCCUAAACUCUAAACCCUAAACCCUAAAAUCUAAACUCUAAACCCUAAACCCUAAACCCUAAACCCUAAAUCCUAAACCCGACCCCUUAACUCUAAAC